GUAACGGGGAAUUAGGGUUCGAUUCCGGAGAGGGAGCCUGAGAAACGGCUACCACAUCUAAGGAAGGCAGCAGGCGCGCAAAUUACCCAAUCCUAAUACAGGGAGGUAGUGACAAGAAAUAACAAUACAGAACCUUACGGUUUUGUAAUUGGAAUGAGUUAAGUAUAAACCCCUUAACAAGUAUCAAUUGGAGGGCAAGUCUGGUGCCAGCAGCCGCGGUAAUUCCAGCUCCAAUAGCGUAUAUUAAAGUUGUUGCAGUUAAAAAGCUCGUAGUUAAUCUUCUGUUAAUUUUUAUAUAUAAUAUCACGAUAUUUAUAUAAUAUUAACAUAAUUCAUAUUACUUUUUAGUAUAUGAAACUUUACUUUGAGAAAAUUAGAGUGCUUAAAGCAGGCUAUUGCCUUGAAUACUCCAACAUGGAAUAAUAUUAAGGAUUUUUAUUCUUCUUAUUGGUUCUAGAAUAAAAAUGAUGAUUAAUAGGGAC
This 482-nucleotide ribosomal RNA is filed under the name Cryptosporidium bovis. Its description in RNAcentral is "SSU rRNA". It matches the Rfam family "Eukaryotic small subunit ribosomal RNA", at positions 359 to 879 of the family's 1831-position model. The record is from RNAcentral. Lineage: Eukaryota; Apicomplexa; Conoidasida; Eucoccidiorida; Cryptosporidiidae.